CAGUAGCCACGGGAAUACGGAGGGGGCUAGCGUUGUUCGGAAUUACUGGGCGUAAAGGGCGUGUAGGCGGCCUGGGGCGUCCCAUGUGAAAGGCCACGGCUCAACCGUGGAGGAGCGUGGGAUACGCUCAGGCUAGAGGGUGGGAGAGGGUGGUGGAAUUCCCGGAGUAGCGGUGAAAUGCGCAGAUACCGGGAGGAACGCCGAUGGCGAAGGCAGCCACCUGGUCCACUUCUGACGCUGGGGCGCGAAAGCGUGGGGAGCAAACCGGAUUAGAUACCCCAGUAGUCCCUGUCUCUUAUAC
RNAcentral lists this ribosomal RNA (301 nucleotides) under uncultured bacterium. RNAcentral's name for it is "partial 16S ribosomal RNA". It matches the Rfam family "Bacterial small subunit ribosomal RNA", at positions 509 to 807 of the family's 1533-position model. The record is from RNAcentral.